UAUAGAUGGUUAAUAGAAGAUAUGUUUCCUGUGUCACAAUAAAUAACACUUUUUCUCCUCCAUAUUUAGGCUUCAGCUUAUAAUGUUUCUUGAUUGAAUCAUUUGCUGGACUUCAUGUGACUUCAUAGAUAAAACUAGUCUUGCUGAGAGGGGAAUACACACUGGACAUGUGCAGGAAAAAGCUCCAUUAGGAGAUGGUUGCAAAUAUGAGAUUCUGCCUAUGAAACCAAGAGGGAGGCUCCCAAAUCAUAAAGAGGUGAGAUUUAAGGCGUAUCUUUUGUAUUUCCCAUUGGUUUGGCAAGUGUUUCCUUCGCUCAGAGCGCUGACCGUUGUGAAAUGGU
RNAcentral lists this long non-coding RNA (341 nucleotides) under Struthio camelus australis. RNAcentral's name for it is "lncRNA (ENSSCUG00000009318.1)". The record is from RNAcentral. Lineage: Eukaryota; Metazoa; Chordata; Aves; Struthioniformes; Struthionidae.